AGUCUUAAGAAAAUAUUUAAGAUAAUGUCUGCUCAAUGUAUAUAAAAUAUAAAUUGCCGCAGUACUCUGACUGUGCAAAGGUAGCAUAAUAAUUUGUCCUUUAAUUAAGGUCUUGAAUGAAAGGCUUUAUGGAAAGAAACUGUUUCUUAUAUUUUUAGUAAAACUUACUUUUUAAGUGAAAAAGCUUAAAUUAAUUAAGAGGACGAGAAGACCCUAUGAAUUGAUAAUAAAAAAUUUAUUUUAAUUUUAUUUCUUUGUUGGGGCAACAUGAAAACAUUAAACUUUUUUUAUAUUAAAAUAAAAAUAUGACAAAUAUUAUUAGAAAGAAACAAUUACCAUAGGGAUAACAGCAUAAUUCUGUAAAGAGUUUGUGACCUCGAUGUUGGACUAGGAAUUAUAUAGAUUAAAAGUUUAUAAUUAUGGUUCUGUUCGA
RNAcentral lists this ribosomal RNA (433 nucleotides) under Megalovalvata baicalensis. RNAcentral describes it as "partial 16S ribosomal RNA". The record is from RNAcentral. Lineage: Eukaryota; Metazoa; Mollusca; Gastropoda; Valvatidae.